UACCGCGUACGUCGGCGAGAGCUCCGGCUCUUGUCGGGAAAGAUGGCCAAUCCUUGGAAGCUGUCACCGGAAGAUGAAUCCGCGGCCCAUCAGGUAGUYGGUGAGGUAACGGCUCACCAAGCCUAAGACGGGUAGCUGGUCUGAGAGGAUGAUCAGCCACACUGGGACUGCGACACGGCCCAGACUCCUACGGGAGGCAGCAGUGGGGAAUAUUGGGCAAUGGGCGAAAGCCUGACCCAGCCACGCCGCGUGAGUGAUGAAGGCCUUCGGGUUCGUAAAGCUCUGUGGGGAGGGACGAACAAGCAGGCACCAAACAAGUGCAGGCCCUGACGGUACCUCCUUAGCAAGCACCGGCUAACCAUGUGCCAGCAGCCGCGGUAAUACAUGGGGUGCAAACGUUGCUCGGAAUUAUUGGGCGUAAAGCGCGCGUAGGCGGUCGCUUAAGUCGGAUGUGAAAGCCCCUUCGGCUUAACUGAGGGAAGUGGCAUCCGAGACUGAAU
This 500-nucleotide ribosomal RNA is filed under the name uncultured bacterium. RNAcentral describes it as "bacterial SSU rRNA". It matches the Rfam family "Bacterial small subunit ribosomal RNA", at positions 167 to 638 of the family's 1533-position model. The record is from RNAcentral.